Molecule: small RNA, 23 nt
Filed under: Arabidopsis thaliana (thale cress)
Lineage: Eukaryota; Viridiplantae; Streptophyta; Magnoliopsida; Brassicales; Brassicaceae
Description: Ath_wt_04592
Source: RNAcentral
GGGGACGGACUGGGAACGGCUCU